CGGAGCUUGCUCCACCGAAAGAAAAAGAGUGGCGAACGGGUGAGUAACACGUGGGUAACCUGCCCAUCAGAAGGGGAUAACACUUGGAAACAGGUGCUAAUACCGUAUAACACUAUUUUCCGCAUGGAAGAAAGUUGAAAGGCGCUUUUGCGUCACUGAUGGAUGGACCCGCGGUGCAUUAGCUAGUUGGUGAGGUAACGGCUCACCAAGGCAACGAUGCAUAGCCGACCUGAGAGGGUGAUCGGCCACACUGGGACUGAGACACGGCCCAGACUCCUACGGGAGGCAGCAGUAGGGAAUCUUCGGCAAUGGACGAAAGUCUGACCGAGCAACGCCGCGUGAGUGAAGAAGGUUUUCGGAUCGUAAAACUCUGUUGUUAGAGAAGAACAAGGAUGAGAGUAAAACGUUCAUCCCUUGACGGUAUCUAACCAGAAAGCCACGGCUAACUACGUGCCAGCAGCCGCGGUAAUACGUAGGUGGCAAGCGUUGUCCGGAUUUAUUGGGCGUAAAGCGAGCGCAGGCGGUUUCUUAAGUCUGAUGUGAAAGCCCCCGGCUCAACCGGGGAGGGUCAUUGGAAACUGGGAGACUUGAGUGCAGAAGAGGAGAGUGGAAUUCCAUGUGUAGCGGUGAAAUGCGUAGAUAUAUGGAGGAACACCAGUGGCGAAGGCGGCUCUCUGGUCUGUAACUGACGCUGAGGCUCGAAAGCGUGGGGAGCGAACAGGAUUAGAUACCCUGGUAGUCCACGCCGUAAACGAUGAGUGCUAAGUGUUGGAGGGUUUCCGCCCUUCAGUGCUGCAGCAAACGCAUUAAGCACUCCGCCUGGGGAGUACGACCGCAAGGUUGAAACUCAAAGGAAUUGACGGGGGCCCGCACAAGCGGUGGAGCAUGUGGUUUAAUUCGAAGCAACGCGAAGAACCUUACCAGGUCUUGACAUCCUUUGACCCCUCUAGAGAUAGAGCUUCCCCUU
Molecule: ribosomal RNA, 967 nt
Filed under: Enterococcus gallinarum
Lineage: Bacteria; Bacillati; Bacillota; Bacilli; Lactobacillales; Enterococcaceae
Description: bacterial SSU rRNA
Rfam family: Bacterial small subunit ribosomal RNA
Source: RNAcentral